GUGCUAUCGAGAGUAGGUUGUGGUUGGGGUAAUGAUGGUUAUCGGCAUAGGGGGUGGUCUUGUUGGGUUGAAAAGGUGAAAUUUAUUAAUUAUUUAUAGGAUUGCUGCUAUAUGUCGGGGUUUUGAGUCUUUAAAGUUUAGGGGUUAAAAUAGGAUUAGAUACCCUACUAUACCUAAAUUAAAUUUGGGGCCUGCGAGUAGUAAACAGUUAUGAUCUUGAAACUCAAAGGAUUUGGCGGUACUCAAGCCUAGUUAGAGGAACUUGUGCAGUAAACGAUAGUCCGCGAGUAUCCGGCCUGGUUUUGUAGAUCUCAGUUUGUAUACCGCCAUUAUUAGAUAAUCUUUGAAGAGAGUUAUUUAGAUUGAUUAGGUUCAAGUAUAUUAGGUCAAGGUGCAGCCCAUGACCAGGAUGUUUUGAGUUACAAUGUAAUAAGUUUAUUACGGAUGGGUUGUGGCAGAAACCAACUUUGAAGGUGGAUUUAAUUGUAAUGGGUGUAAAUUACGCAUUGAUGAUAAUAGCUCUUGAGUAUGUACACAUCGCCCGUCGUUCUCACUUU
Molecule: ribosomal RNA, 557 nt
Filed under: Alpheus cristulifrons
Lineage: Eukaryota; Metazoa; Arthropoda; Malacostraca; Decapoda; Alpheidae
Description: partial small subunit ribosomal RNA
Source: RNAcentral